AUGCCUGGCAGGGAACGAUGGAACCAGCAUCAGUCCCUCUGCCCACACUGCCCAUCCACCCACCGGCCCUGUGCCAGACUCACCGUUCCUGGAGAGUUCGGCACUUCUCGGAAAUCUUCUCGGCAAAAAUGUUCUCCUCAGCCACCAGCUUGGUGCCACCAACCACCACCUCCGGGACCUUCUUGGCAUUGCUCUCCACAUCAGCACGGAAGUUCUGGAAGCGGUGCAGGGCAGCAGCCGAGCCCUCCAGUGUGGAGGGCAGCUCCAGGUGGGACAGCGUGUACUCCUGAGGGGCACAGCAAGGGAUCGGUGCACAAUCACCCUUUCUUGGAAUGCCCACGAGCCAAGAGACCCAAAGGACAUCGCUUGAGCACCCACCUGCUUGGUGAGGAGGAUCUCCGCCUGCUUGGUGUCGCGAAGGAACUCCUGGAAGUUGCGGCACUGGGUGAGGAAGCGCUUCCGAGCCUCUGCCAUCUUGCCCAGGGCAGCCAGGCGGUCCUGGGCCACCGCCAGCUCCCGCUCGAUGCCGUACAGCUUGCGCUGCGUGGCCAGCACGCCGGCCAGGUCGCGGCCCAGCUCGGCCGUGGCCUCCACCGCCCGGGCUUUGCUCCGCAGCCACUUCUGGGUCUCCUCCGACUCCAGGUUGUAGUUGAGGAGGCGCAGCGCCGAGCCCACCGCCCGCCGGCGCUCCGACACCAGCUCCCGGAACCGGCCCCACCUGCGGGACGGAGGCAGGGGAUGGGCGGUGGGGAAUUCACCGCCACCGCCACGGUGCCACCCGCCCGCCCCGGCACCUCCGCCGCCUUACCUCUCGUUGAGCUGCUCCCGGCACUGCCGGACCUGGGGGCUCCGGGGGUGCCCGCUAGCCAGGAGCCCGUCGGCUGCCUGGUUGACUGCGGCGAUCUGGGAAGCCACGGUGGCCAUGUCUUGCUCCAGCCCGUCCAACCUGCGAGGACGUCCCGGCUUAGAACGAGCAGCAAUUCGGGACGGGGCACGGCAGCACCGCCGCGGCGGGGGAUCCAUCCCUACCUGCGCUGCGUCACGUCCAGGUCCUCCAGCGUCUGCGGCACCUCCAGCUCUGCCAGCCAGGUCUCCUUGGAGCCCAUCCAGAGAUGGCAGGCGUCGCUCUCCCCGAAAACAGUGUAGAGGUCCAGGGCAUCCUGCAGCUGGCGGCCGCGGCGCUCGGCCAGCGCGGCCCCCCCCCCCCCCCCCCCCCCCCCCCCCCCCCCCCCCCCCCCCCCCCCCCCCCCCCCCCCCCCCCCCCCCCCCC
This 1270-nucleotide long non-coding RNA is filed under the name Ficedula albicollis (Collared flycatcher). RNAcentral describes it as "lncRNA (ENSFALG00000027877.1)". Lineage: Eukaryota; Metazoa; Chordata; Aves; Passeriformes; Muscicapidae. The record is from RNAcentral.